Molecule: unclassified non-coding RNA, 378 nt
Filed under: plant metagenome
Description: partial contains 5.8S ribosomal RNA, internal transcribed spacer 2, and large subunit ribosomal RNA
Rfam family: 5.8S ribosomal RNA (bases 1-105)
Source: RNAcentral
GAAAUGCGAUAAGUAAUGUGAAUUGCAGAAUUCAGUGAAUCAUCGAAUCUUUGAACGCACCUUGCGCUCCUUGGUAUUCCUUGGAGCAUGCCUGUUUGAGUAUCAUGAAAUCUUCAAAGUAAAUCUUUUGUUAACUCAAUUGGUUUCUACUUUGGUAUUGGAGGUCUUUGCAGCUUCACACCUGCUCCUCUUUGUUCAUUAGCUGGAUCUCAGUGUUAUGCUUGGUUCCACUCGGCGUGAUAAGUUAUCUAUCGCUGAGGACACUGUAAAAGGUGGCCAAGGUAAAUGCAGAUGAAACGCUUCUAAUAGUCCAUUGACUUGGACAAUACUUUUAUGAUCUGAUCUCACAUCAGGUAGGACUACCCGCUGAACUUAAGC